RNAcentral lists this ribosomal RNA (504 nucleotides) under uncultured bacterium. RNAcentral describes it as "partial 16S ribosomal RNA". It matches the Rfam family "Bacterial small subunit ribosomal RNA", at positions 28 to 523 of the family's 1533-position model. The record is from RNAcentral.
GAUAAACGCUAGCGGCAGGCUUAACACAUGCAAGUCGAGGGGCAGCAUAGAUUGUAGCAAUACAAUUGGUGGCGACCGGCGCACGGGUGCGUAACGCGUAUGCAACCUACCCGUCACAGGGGGAUGAUCCGGAGAAAUCUGGUCUAAUACCCCAUAACAUAUGGAUCGGCAUCGGUUCAUGUUGAAAUUUUUGGAGGUGACGGAUGGGCAUGCGUAGCAUUAGCUUGUUGGUGAGGUAACGGCUCACCAAGGCGACGAUGCUUAGGGGGACUGAGAGGUUUUCCCCCCACACUGGUACUGAGACACGGACCAGACUCCUACGGGAGGCAGCAGUGAGGAAUAUUGGUCAAUGGGCGCAAGCCUGAACCAGCCAUGCCGCGUGCAGGAUGACGGCUCUAUGAGUUGUAAACUGCUUUUGUACGAGGGUAAAGUGGGUUACGUGUAACCUUUUGAAAGUAUCGUACGAAUAAGGAUCGGCUAACUCCGUGCCAGCCGCCGCGGUAA